CCUACGGGAUGCACCAGUGGGGAAUAUUGCAUAAUGGGCGCAAGCCUGAUGCAGCCAUGCCGCGUGUGUGAAGAAGGCCUUCGGGUUGUAAAGCACUUUCAGUGGGGAGGAAGGCGAUAAGGUUAAUAACCUUGUCGAUUGACGUUACCCGCAGAAGAAGCACCGGCUAACUCCGUGCCAGCAGCCGCGGUAAUACGGAGGGUGCAAGCGUUAAUCGGAAUUACUGGGCGUAAAGCGCACGCAAGCGGUCCGUCAAGUCGGAUGUGAAAUCCCCGGGCUCAACCUGGGAACUGCAUUCGAAACUGGCAGGCUAGAGUCUUGUAGAGGGGGGUAGAAUUCCAGGUGUAGCGGUGAAAUGCGUAGAGAUCUGGAGGAAUACCGGUGGCGAAGGCGGCCCCCUGGACAAAGACUGACGCUCAGGUGCGAAAGCGUGGGGAGCAAACAGGAUUAGAUACCCCGGUAGUC
Molecule: ribosomal RNA, 465 nt
Filed under: uncultured bacterium
Lineage: Bacteria
Description: bacterial SSU rRNA
Rfam family: Bacterial small subunit ribosomal RNA
Source: RNAcentral